RNAcentral lists this ribosomal RNA (253 nucleotides) under uncultured bacterium. RNAcentral's name for it is "partial 16S ribosomal RNA". It matches the Rfam family "Bacterial small subunit ribosomal RNA", at positions 524 to 776 of the family's 1533-position model. The record is from RNAcentral.
UACGUAGGGGGCUAGCGUUGUCCGGAAUCAUUGGGCGUAAAGCGCGUGUAGGCGGUCCGGUAAGUCCGCUGUGAAAGUCGGGGGCUCAACCCUCGGAUGCCGGUGGAUACUGUCGGGCUUGAGUACGGAAGAGGCGAGUGGAAUUCCUGGUGUAGCGGUGAAAUGCGCAGAUAUCAGGAGGAACACCAAUUGCGAAGGCAGCUCGCUGGGACGUUACUGACGCUGAGACGCGAAAGCGUGGUGAGCAAACAGG